RNAcentral lists this long non-coding RNA (958 nucleotides) under Olea europaea (common olive). RNAcentral's name for it is "long non-coding RNA (OEUR_LNC011590)". The record is from RNAcentral. Lineage: Eukaryota; Viridiplantae; Streptophyta; Magnoliopsida; Lamiales; Oleaceae.
AAAAUCUUGCAUGCGAAACAUGAUUUCAACGUGAGUUUUCUUUAUAAAUGUUUUAUUGACCACUACUAGGGCAUCGAGGCAUGUGAGGCAUGCUUAUGUGAUAUGUUUGGCAUGCGGGUGUUACUUCCUGGGUGAUUGCAAAGGUAGAUAGGGGAUGGGCCUUUGGUGAUCACGGGAGGGCGGACCACUCGACUAUGCCCUUGUUAUGAUUAUUGGCGCUGUCGGGUGGGAGACUUCUUGGGUGAUCAUAGGGAUAGUUAGGGGAUGGGCCUCUAGUGGUCACGAGAGGAUGGUCCACUCGCCGGUGUCGAUUUCAUAUUGGCCACUUGAUUAUUAAUAUUGAUAUUAGGCAGAGCUCUAUCCGGUGCAUAGUAGGUGGGUCAAGAGCCUAAUGAAAUGAAAGAUUUCAAGUGAAAUGAUUUCUAGUCGACUUUGACGAAUAUUGACAUAUGAUACUUUUUAUCAUGAUAUUUAAAGUAAAUGGCAUGGUGUCAUAUGUCGUUAUUACUCAUGUUCAGGACAUGCAUGAUUUUGCUUACUAAGCAUUAGCUUAUGUAGUUCUUGCAUUGUAGGUGAACAUGGAACUACAUAGAGAGCAUGGCUAGCUGUGGAGCUCCUACAGGAUUCCAGAGUUCGAUGUACAUGGAUGACGACCUGUAGGGUUAUUUUGUAGGCUGCCAUCUGUAGGGUUAUAUUUUGGAAUCCUAUAUAGUAUACUUUUGAAAUGGCCUGUAGACAUGUUUAUAAGCUCAGAAUAUAUAUGUUGGAUUAUGGCGAUAUGAUUUUGGAUUUCGAUAUGUUAUAUGAUCGUGUCACAGGUGAUUAGAAGUUAACAAACUCAAAAAAAAAAAAUAUGUAAAAUUCUAUAUCUAGGUUGUGUAUAGAUAUCAAUGUUAAUUUGGAAGUGUGACACAAGGGAAUAAUAUUUGUAAGUAAUAGAUACUGAUACGAGCAUUGG